Molecule: transfer RNA, 92 nt
Filed under: Acidimicrobiaceae bacterium
Lineage: Bacteria; Bacillati; Actinomycetota; Acidimicrobiia; Acidimicrobiales; Acidimicrobiaceae
Also listed under: 3 other names
Description: tRNA-Ser
Rfam family: tRNA
About the family: Transfer RNA (tRNA) molecules are approximately 80 nucleotides in length. Their secondary structure includes four short double-helical elements and three loops (D, anti-codon, and T loops).
Source: RNAcentral
GGAGAGGUGGCUGAGCGGUCUAAAGCGCUCGCCUGCUAAGCGAGUGGGGGAUGAAAAUCCCCUCGAGGGUUCAAAUCCCUCCCUCUCCGCCA